AUUGAACGCUGGCGGCAGGCCUAACACAUGCAAGUCGAGCGGAUGAAGGGAGCUUGCUCCUGGAUUCAGCGGCGGACGGGUGAGUAAUGCCUAGGAAUCUGCCUUGUAGUGGGGGAUAACGUCCGGGAACGGGCUCUAAUACCGCAUACGUCCUGUGGGAGAAAGUGGGGGAUCUUCGGACCUCACGCUAUCAGAUGAGCCUAGGUCGGAUUAGCUAGUUGGUGGGGUAAAGGCCUACCAAGGCGACGAUCAGUAACUGGUCUGAGAGGAUGAUCAGGCACACCGGAACUGAGACACGGUCCAGACUCCUACGGGAGGCAGCAGUGGGGAAUAUUGGACAAUGGGCGAAAGCCUGAUCCAGCCAGGCCGCGUGUGUGAAGAAGGUCUUCGGAUUGUAAAGCACUUUAAGUUGGGAGGAAGGGCAGUAAGUUAAUACCUUGCUGUUUUGACGGUACCAACAGAAUAAGCACCGGCUAACUUCGUG
This 484-nucleotide ribosomal RNA is filed under the name uncultured bacterium. RNAcentral describes it as "partial 16S ribosomal RNA". It matches the Rfam family "Bacterial small subunit ribosomal RNA", at positions 30 to 507 of the family's 1533-position model. The record is from RNAcentral.